Molecule: ribosomal RNA, 1650 nt
Filed under: Salmonella enterica
Lineage: Bacteria; Pseudomonadati; Pseudomonadota; Gammaproteobacteria; Enterobacterales; Enterobacteriaceae
Also listed under: 1 other name
Description: partial 23S ribosomal RNA
Rfam family: Bacterial large subunit ribosomal RNA
Source: RNAcentral
AGACCCGAAACCCGGUGAUCUAGCCAUGGGCAGGUUGAAGGUUGGGUAACACUAACUGGAGGACCGAACCGACUAAUGUUGAAAAAUUAGCGGAUGACCUGUGGCUGGGGGUGAAAGGCCAAUCAAACCGGGAGAUAGCUGGUUCUCCCCGAAAGCUAUUUAGGUAGCGCCUCGUGAAUUCAUCUCCGGGGGUAGAGCACUGUUUCGGCUAGGGGGCCAUCCCGGCUUACCAACCCGAUGCAAACUGCGAAUACCGGAGAAUGUUAUCACGGGAGACACACGGCGGGUGCUAACGUCCGUCGUGAAGAGGGAAACAACCCAGACCGCCAGCUAAGGUCCCAAAGUCAUGGUUAAGUGGGAAACGAUGUGGGAAGGCCCAGACAGCCAGGAUGUUGGCUUAGAAGCAGCCAUCAUUUAAAGAAAGCGUAAUAGCUCACUGGUCGAGUCGGCCUGCGCGGAAGAUGUAACGGGGCUAAACCAUGCACCGAAGCUGCGGCAGCGACACUGUGUGUUGUUGGGUAGGGGAGCGUUCUGUAAGCCUGUGAAGGUGUGUCGUGAGGCAUGCUGGAGGUAUCAGAAGUGCGAAUGCUGACAUAAGUAACGAUAAAGCGGGUGAAAAGCCCGCUCGCCGGAAGACCAAGGGUUCCUGUCCAACGUUAAUCGGGGCAGGGUGAGUCGACCCCUAAGGCGAGGCCGAAAGGCGUAGUCGAUGGGAAACGGGUUAAUAUUCCCGUACUUGGUGUUACUGCGAAGGGGGGACGGAGAAGGCUAUGUUGGCCGGGCGACGGUUGUCCCGGUUUAAGCGUGUAGGUGUGUGUUCCAGGUAAAUCCGGUUCACUUUAACACUGAGGCGUGACGACGAGGCACUACGGUGCUGAAGCAACAAAUGCCCUGCUUCCAGGAAAAGCCUCUAAGCAUCAGGUAACAUCAAAUCGUACCCCAAACCGACACAGGUGGUCAGGUAGAGAAUACCAAGGCGCUUGAGAGAACUCGGGUGAAGGAACUAGGCAAAAUGGUGCCGUAACUUCGGGAGAAGGCACGCUGACACGUAGGUGAAGUGAUUUACUCAUGGAGCUGAAGUCAGUCGAAGAUACCAGCUGGCUGCAACUGUUUAUUAAAAACACAGCACUGUGCAAACACGAAAGUGGACGUAUACGGUGUGACGCCUGCCCGGUGCCGGAAGGUUAAUUGAUGGGGUCAGCGCAAGCGAAGCUCCUGAUCGAAGCCCCGGUAAACGGCGGCCGUAACUAUAACGGUCCUAAGGUAGCGAAAUUCCUUGUCGGGUAAGUUCCGACCUGCACGAAUGGCGUAAUGAUGGCCAGGCUGUCUCCACCCGAGACUCAGUGAAAUUGAACUCGCUGUGAAGAUGCAGUGUACCCGCGGCAAGACGGAAAGACCCCGUGAACCUUUACUAUAGCUUGACACUGAACAUUGAGCCUUGAUGUGUAGGAUAGGUGGGAGGCUUUGAAGUGUGGACGCCAGUCUGCAUGGAGCCGACCUUGAAAUACCACCCUUUAAUGUUUGAUGUUCUAACGUGGACCCGUUACCCGGGUUGCGGACAGUGUCUGGUGGGUAGUUUGACUGGGGCGGUCUCCUCCUAAAGAGUAACGGAGGAGCACGAAGGUUGGCUAAUCCUGGUCGGACAUCAGG